AACGAACGCUGGCGGCAGGCUUAACACAUGCAAGUCGAACGGGUGUAGCAAUACAUCAGUGGCAGACGGGUGAGUAACACGUGGGAACCUUCCUAGGGGUACGGAACAACUCAGGGAAACUUGAGCUAAUACCGUAUACGUCCGUAAGGAGAAAGAUUCAUCGCCCCUAGACGGGCCCGCGUCGGAUUAGGUAGUUGGUGGGGUAACGGCCUACCAAGCCUACGAUCCGUAGCUGAUCUGAGAGGAUGAUCAGCCACACUGGGACUGAGACACGGCCCAGACUCCUACGGGAGGCAGCAGUGGGGAAUCUUGGACAAUGGGCGCAAGCCUGAUCCAGCCAUGCCGCGUGAGUGGAGAAGGCCUUAGGGUUGUAAAGCUCUUUUACCAGGGACGAUAAUGACGGUACCUGGAGAAUAAGCCCCGGCAAACUUCGUGCCAGCAGCCGCCGCGGUAAC
This 455-nucleotide ribosomal RNA is filed under the name uncultured bacterium. RNAcentral describes it as "bacterial SSU rRNA". It matches the Rfam family "Bacterial small subunit ribosomal RNA", at positions 29 to 524 of the family's 1533-position model. The record is from RNAcentral.